UCGAGAAUUUUUCUCAAUGGGGGAAACCCUGAAGGAGCGACGCCGCGUGGAGGAUGAAGGUUUUCGGAUUGUAAACUCCUGCCAUUUGGGAACAAACCUUUCAUUUAACUGAUGAAAGACUGAUAGUACCAGAAGAGGAAGAGACGGCUAACUCUGUGCCAGCAGCCGCGGUAAUACAGAGGUCUCAACCGUUGUUCGGAUUCAUUGGGCGUAAAGGGUGCGUAGGCGGUCGCGCAAGUCGGAUGUGAAAUCUCGAGGCUCAACCUCGAAACUGCAUUCGAUACUGCGUGGCUAGAGUGCUGGAGGGGAGACUGGAAUUUACGGUGUAGCAGUGAAAUGCGUAGAUAUCGUAAGGAAGACCAGUGGCGAAGGCGAGUCUCUGGACAGCAACUGACGCUGAGGCACGAAGGCCAGGGGAGCAAAC
Molecule: ribosomal RNA, 424 nt
Filed under: uncultured bacterium
Lineage: Bacteria
Description: bacterial SSU rRNA
Rfam family: Bacterial small subunit ribosomal RNA
Source: RNAcentral